AGAAGAAAAAAGAAGAAACCCAAUGUGACCUUUGAAUAGAAAAAGCCUACAAAGACAGGACAAAAUUGAAGAUAUGAUUUGGAUUGAAAAAAAAAAUAUCUUGUGUGAUGGAGACCCCUGCAGUUGCUGAGCCCUUGUCAGCUCCCUGUGGAACUGAAGGCAGGUUUCACAUCUUUUACAGCCAGCAGGACUUUAAAGGAAAGGUACAGAUGGCACUACGCAUGAUUCCAGAUGGAUGCAGAUCUGUGGGACUCCAAAUAUGGUGUCAGCCUGGAGUGAAGUAUUUUAUAGAAGGAACGUGUGUAAUUGCAAUGAAAGCGAUGGUUGGACGCGGUGGUCAAGGCAGAUCUCCAGAAUAUCUAGGGUUACUUCAGCGCAGCCUGAAAUGAGGGCAAAUGUGAUGGAGAGGAUGGCGAAGGGGAAGGAUGCGAUGGACUUCACCAGCAGCACUGAAAAUAUGUUUCCUGGGGAGGAAACAAAAUAGCAAGCCUCCUAUCUCCACGGCAUCGCCUCUGUUCUAAUUCUGACUUUACCGUUUAUUAGGUGUGGAACCCAAGACAAAUGGCACGGCUGUGAUAGGAUCAAGCAGCCUCCAGACCAGAGAGCUGCGCAUUUUGCUCAGGGAAGCUGUCAAGAAGACCUCUUUGCUGGUAAACACAUGACAUGCCAGUGCUGCCCCCAGGGAACUGAACUGCAAGAAGUCGCAAAGGGGAAAGAGAGGGAUCAGAAGAAGCAACUGAACCCCCAGAGUCUUAGUGACAGAAAAAGAAAAGAAGUAUGUACAGUGACCAAGGACUGUAUGAUGGGUCCCCUGCCUUCAUUUGGAAAGACCAUCAGCUCAGAGCCUGGUCCAAAAUGUAUGGGCCUCAGAUGUACCUGCAUGGUGGGCCAGCUUCUCCUACUGACCUUCCUGCAAAAAAAAUAAACAGCUCAGUGAUCAGAUCUCAGUCACAGCUGCACCUUCUGCUGAAGGUCUGGUAAUGCUGGAUCCGUAACCCCCCGUGCUGGCCAGGGAUCGAACCUGCAUCUAGGGCUUCAGAAAUGCUGCUGAUCCCGUUGCACCACAGCAGGAACUCCAAACAUACGCAUCUUUGAACAGUGACUAACACAGCCCAUUUUCUUGCUCCCGUGAAUCAACAAGGAAGCAAUGGAACUGAUGCCUGAACACGUGUAUUCCCCAGUGAGAAAGGGAAGUUAGAACAAGGAAAGAUUUCUGCCAUCGAGCUCUGUGGAUCUUUUCCCAGAAGGCACUAAAACUGUGAGAGAAAUCCCACACAACUCAGGAAAUAGAACAAGCUUUUACUCCUACUAUAAAUAAUUUUAUCUUUGGGGGAUAGGGUUUUGUUUUUAAUUUAGAGCGAAUUAAUAGGCAUAACACAGACGAACCUGUCCUGGAAGGAAUAUGAUUCUGUGACAAUUGUCAAUUAGAUCAGAUUUUUUAAAUUAUUACAAUCUUAGUUUACACUAUAGUUCUAUGAGUAAUGGUGACAAUUCCCACCAAUUUAUUCUCAAGUUUCAGUUAGGCCUUUAGACCACUAAAUAUUAUUUUUAACUCAGUUUAAAAUGCAUGUGAUAAAGGGGGGAAAUGGCAGAGUUUUUUUUUUUUUUCUUCUUCUUUUGGUUCUAUUCUUUUCUUCAGAGUUCUCCCACAUCUGUUUUAAAGCUCAGCUGAUAAACAAUACUUUCUUCCUAGGAACUUGGCUCUUUAUACAUAAAGGAACCACAGUGCUAUUAUGUAUCCCUUCAGAUAAAAUAGGAAUAUACACAAAACACCUACAUGCACACACAGACACACAUAAGCACAGACAGACGCAAACACACACAGUCACUGAUCAAGGGCUCAGUGUUGGCCAGGCCCUGAGCCAGAAGGCCAGUUGCUGCAGUUUUCUGAAAUUAAACUGGGCCAGGGUUGACCUUGACCCUGCCAAUAGCUGUCACCAGAGGCUUUGAAAAGACUCUACUUGACACAGUCCAAAUUGUUCUUUAGCCCCAGCAAAGGGGCAUGUAAAGAUCUAUGGAGUUUCAAAGACAUAUUCCUGAUGAUUUCACCUUUGCAGGGUGGGAGCAUGCAUGACUUUGGCUUUUAAAACCUUCUACGAUUACCCAACUCAGUGGGCUGGCUGUUCUAGGGAACCAAACUGCCCAGAAAAUCAUCCAAAACAUGGUAGUUUAAUACAACACGUUGACUAUCUCAGUUUCUGGAAGUUGGUACCUCCAGAGUGGCUUGGCUGGCCCAUCCUGGUGUAUCCUGAGGAUGCAGUCAGGUGGUGGCUCAAGAUGGAACAUCAUCGGGUUCUUCUCAUCUAUCUGGUGCCAGGGCUGGGAAGACUCAAGCAGCUGCGUUCCUUGGUGUCCACUCCUGUUCCUCUGCACUGUUCCCUGGAUCUCUCUCCAGCAGGGCAUAUGUUCAAAGGAGCAGGACUUCGCAGGUGUCGGCUGGAGUCUUCGGAGGUGUGUCUCCAUGUGAGGGCGGGAGCUCAGGCAUCACGUCCCUCACAUUUUAAUCAUUAGCAUUGAGUCACUGGUUCAGCCCUCAUUAGGAGAUAGGAAUUAGACUCCAUCUUUUCAAAGGUGGUGUGCAAAGAAUUUCCAGAUGUGUCUUUUUUUUUUUUUGUCUUUUUGCUAUUUCUUUGGGCCGCUCCCUCGGCAUAUGGAGGUUCCCAGGCUAGGGGUCCAAUCGGAGCUGUAGCCACCGGCCUAUGCCAGAGCCACAGCAACGCGGGAUCCGAGCCGUUCUGCAACCUACACCACAGCUCACGGCAAUGCCGGAUCGUUAACCCACUGAGCAAGGGCAGGGACCGAACCUGCAACCUCAUGGUUCCUAGUCGGAUUCGUUAACCACUGCGCCACGACGGGAACUCCCAGAUGUGUCUUAACAUCAUCUCCAUGGUUACGCCUUAUAACGACUGAUCUUCAUAAUUAUUGGAUGUGUUUUACCCAACAUAAUAGCAGGUACAGAUGUUUCUUCCUUACAAUUUUUAAGUUUAAAACACAGACGUCAUAUUUAUUUUUGUAUUAGAUGCUAAUAUAAUUCUUGGGCAAAUACUUUGGAAAAUGAGGAGAGCUAUAAAUAAAUUAAAUAGAUAGAAUAAACACAUAAAUAUGUGGAUGAAAUGUUCAUAAAGUUGUCAGAGGGAUGGCUUAGAAAAUGUUCUCAACCCCAAGUGCCACUCUUUCACUGUUCUUCUGAAUAUUAUCUUUCGGUGAUAAAGGGUAGUGCUUUAAGCAGUAUUAUUCACAAUUCUAAGCAUGGGUACAAUGAUAGAUGUUGAAAAUAAGCAUCCUUCUACAUUCUUUUACAAAAUCACUAUCCCUAACCCACGGAGACACUUUUCUGAACAGUCUGACUUUGAAAAUAAUUCUAAUUUGAAGCUGAUGGAAACUAGAGUAAUUAUUCAUUCAACCCCGGUAAGUAAUAAUUAAUGUUUGCCUUCUCGUUUAUGCCUCAUGAAAUAUUUCUGCAAUCAGCCGAUAUGCCACCACCUGGAUUAACACUAAGAUGUUUGUUUGGUAUUCGACAGGUGUUAACACUGACUAAGAAUCAGAGCCUUUUAAUUAGCAAAACUCACUUUUUUUUUUCGAGGGCAUGUUAGGCUUUUAUCAUUUUUUUUUAUAAAUCCUUCUUUUUGAAUAAUAAUGAAACUUUAGCCCAAAUGUCCCCAAAGAGGUGACAAUAGGGGGAAAAAAACCCCACUAACCUCAGAGAAGAAGAAACAUAAGCCAAUGUUUAUACCCUGUCCAUGAUUCUCCCAGAAAGAAUGAUGGUGGACUUCUUGCAAGUAGCUUAAAACUUAGACCUCUAAAAAAGAGUAGCAAGACCAGACAGGAAAUAUUGAAAAUAAGACCAGUCUCAGAUUAAGAGACGUUUGUUAAAGGGAAAACGCACAUGCUGAGAAUUUUUUUGAAGGUGACACUUGCCAUCUGUUACGGAAUCCAUGUACUGAUCUAUUAUCUCAGGUCAUUUCCACAUUUUUCUGUAAGGAAAUCUGAUCAAGAAAUUCAGAAGGGAGAAGCUCUCCAUGGUAAAUGUGCUUUAUAUUUGCCAAUAGUCACCAUACCAAAAAUAAUCAAAAUAUUUUGAGCAAUGAAGACUCACAGUAGGCAGGCAGGCAGGCAUCCUUGUCCGCCACCUCGCCUUGAGAAAGUAGUGCCAGGUCUUAUGGAGAUUGUCAAGCCUGUGGUCAGAAACCCCAGGUAAGAACUGUUUUAGCAAAGAGUUUUGCUUUAGAAAUAAGCAAAAGAGACACUGCAGAGUCAAAUGGCCAACUAUACUAAAUGUGUAAACUUCUUCCUUUUAGGGUUAAUAACAUUAAUUAAUUUUUAAAGACAAGGUAUUUCCUCCACAUGUAUUCUUUCCUGUUCUCCACAGGUUAGAGGCAGGUUGGACCUAUUGGUCUCUCAUAUGAAGGAUGAAAACAAACAGGCCAUGAGCUCUGAAUGCACACACGGAUGUUAAAGGGUCCUACCACUCAGAUUCUCCCAGUAUAGACCUCAUCGUGUCUGAGGUUUUAAUUAGUAUACUUCUAAAAAAAAUUAUGGUAUAGUGUUGAUUUACACCGUUGUGCCAAUUUCUGCUGUACAGCACCGAGACCCAGUCAGACAUAUGUACACACAUUCUUUUUCUCAUACCAUCUGCCAUCAUGUUCUAUCUCCAGAGAUUGGACAUAGUUCCCUGUGCUGUACCGUAGGCCCCCACUGCUCAUCUAUUCUAAAUGUAAUAGUUUGCAUCUACCAACCCCAAACUCCCCAUGCAUCCCACUCCCUCCCCUCUCCUCUCCUGUAACCACUAGUCAGCUCGCCCUGUCCCUUAUACGUGGAAUCUAAAAUAUGGCACAAAUGAUCCUCUCUGCAAAACAGGAUACUUUAAAAAUACAGUCAAAUACAACAAAAUAAUAUUUCUAGCUACCUCCAGUAAAAAAAA
RNAcentral lists this long non-coding RNA (4921 nucleotides) under Sus scrofa (pig). RNAcentral describes it as "lncRNA (ENSSSCG00035036651.1)". Lineage: Eukaryota; Metazoa; Chordata; Mammalia; Artiodactyla; Suidae. The record is from RNAcentral.